UCGAAAAUUUUUGAUCAGUAUGCAGCAAUGAAUACUGUAAAAUAUAUAUUUCUGUUUGCUGCCGUUGCAGUUGUCUUGAUCUCCAAUGUCAUAGCUGCACCAUCAGGUAGUCCUAAAACUAACCAUGAAGAGCUAUGGAAAAUAAAAUUGCAACCUUUUCUUCAGUUAUGUUUGGAAGUAUCUGAAUUACUUGGGCCUUGGUUUCCAGGAGGCUAAAAUGCAGUUAAAAUGACUUGGCACAAGAAGAUUAUGUUUAUAACAAUUUAUGGCACAAAAUAUUCGGCAAACUUUAGUUAUCGCACAAAUGUCCUAUAAUAAAUUAUCAAUAUUGUAAAAAAUUAACAAAAUAAUACUUUUGGUGUCGGAUAUACAAAAUAUAAUAUGCGAUUAUUGUUUUAUUAUACAUCAAAAUAUAUUUUGUAUUAAUAAAUAUUAUACAUUAAUAUUUAUCUGGCAGAAAUUAAAAAUUGUUAGUUUUAUUAUAAAA
Molecule: long non-coding RNA, 487 nt
Organism: Cataglyphis hispanica
Lineage: Eukaryota; Metazoa; Arthropoda; Insecta; Hymenoptera; Formicidae
Exons: 2
Source: RefSeq, a predicted model, not a curated record